UUUCCCGUAGGGAUACCCAACUGUUCUAGCACCAUUUAUUGAAAAGUCAACUCUUCCUUCAAUAUUCAGAAAUGUCACCUCUGUCAUAAACCAGGCAGCCACAUGUGUAUUAGACUGCUGUGUCUUCGUUAUUUCUCCAGAGGUUUGCCAAUUUUACUAAUCUCUUCAAAGAUCCAAUUUUGAUUUUUGUUCAUUUUCUUAAUUGUAUGCUUACUAUUUUAUUAGCUUGUGCUUUGGUCUUCCGUAUACUUUUUUUGGGGGGGGGUUGAAUUUACUAUUCUUUUUCUAAGCUCUUUGAAAUGGAUGAUUAGCUCAUUAAUUUUAAGUCUUUACUCUUUUCUAUUAUAUGCUAUAUAUUUUCCUGUAAGUAUUAACUUUAGAAAAAUUUCCUACCAGCUUUGAUAUAUAUGAUAUUUUCAUUAUUAUUCACUUCAAAAUGUUUUUAGUUUUUAAUUGUAACUUCUCUGUGAUAUAAAGAAGUAUGACUUUAAAUUUUCCACAUUAUGGGGAUUUCCUAGUUUUUUUUUUAUUGAUUUUAGCUUAAUUAUAUUGUGGUCAGAUCAACAUUACAUGAAUUAGAAAUUUAUCAAGAUUUGUUUUAGGCUCAGAAUAUGAGCCAAAUUUGUAAAUGUUCUGCUUGAAACAUGUAUCUUACAACAAUUGUGUGCAGUAUUCUACAUAUGCUCAUUAAGUCUAGUUUAUUAACAGAGUUCUUCAAAUCUUUUAUACCCUUUUGUCUCGUUUUUAAAAUUAAACUGAAAACGGUGUCUUAAAA
Molecule: long non-coding RNA, 775 nt
Organism: Homo sapiens (human)
Lineage: Eukaryota; Metazoa; Chordata; Mammalia; Primates; Hominidae
Exons: 2
Source: RefSeq, a predicted model, not a curated record